RNAcentral lists this unclassified non-coding RNA (570 nucleotides) under Zea mays. Its description in RNAcentral is "misc RNA Zm00001eb343370". Lineage: Eukaryota; Viridiplantae; Streptophyta; Magnoliopsida; Poales; Poaceae. The record is from RNAcentral.
GCAGACGAGGAAGCACCUGCCUCUGCAAUGUGUCAAAAGAAAAAUGAAAAAAGAAGUCAGUACUCGAAGGUCAAUAUGAUGUCAGUUGGUAAAAUAUUCAAACAUGCAUAUAUAGUUUUGGCAGUAAACAUAGCCAUGCACAAAAGUUCAGAGCUCAACAUGGAAUUUCCUUCCACGAUUUAUCAUUUCGCACUACCAGAUUACUGGCAGGCAAUGCAUAAAGCAAAGGCAGUAAUCCUCCCCACAAAUAAUUGUGAAAUUAAAAGGCUUUAUGACAUACCACCAGUAUACAUCAAUCAUAUAUACCUAGCAAAUGGAGGAAGAGACACAGACUGUUAAGCACAACCAUGGUUUAAAUCUUCUCUAACAUAUAUCGCUAACCAGAUACAUGUUACAUAAAGGUCGAGUGCUUUAACUCUAGUUUUUGUAAACAAAUCUGUUUUUUAGAGGCAAACAUCUUUUUUGUUAAUAUUCAACAACAGACAUAAAAGUAUCACACAAAAACGGAUUUUAUCCAUUUUUCUUGGGAAGGAAACAGUCACUAACCCUGGGGCUUCUUGCCAUCGUCAA